CGCAUACGGCCUACGGGAGAAAGCAGGGGACCUUCGGGCCUUGCGCUAUCAGAUGAGCCUAGGUCGGAUUAGCUAGUUGGUGAGGUAAUGGCUCACCAAGGCUACGAUCCGUAACUGGUCUGAGAGGAUGAUCAGUCACACUGGAACUGAGACACGGUCCAGACUCCUACGGGAGGCAGCAGUGGGGAAUAUUGGACAAUGGGCGAAAGCCUGAUCCAUCCAGGCGCGCGUGUGUGAAGAAGGUCUUCGGAUUGU
RNAcentral lists this ribosomal RNA (255 nucleotides) under uncultured bacterium. Its description in RNAcentral is "partial 16S ribosomal RNA". It matches the Rfam family "Bacterial small subunit ribosomal RNA", at positions 170 to 426 of the family's 1533-position model. The record is from RNAcentral.